RNAcentral lists this ribosomal RNA (854 nucleotides) under Klebsiella pneumoniae. RNAcentral describes it as "partial 23S ribosomal RNA". It matches the Rfam family "Bacterial large subunit ribosomal RNA", at positions 419 to 1275 of the family's 2925-position model. Lineage: Bacteria; Pseudomonadati; Pseudomonadota; Gammaproteobacteria; Enterobacterales; Enterobacteriaceae. RNAcentral also lists the same sequence under 1 other name. The record is from RNAcentral.
GGGACACGUGGUAUCCUGUCUGAAUAUGGGGGGACCAUCCUCCAAGGCUAAAUACUCCUGACUGACCGAUAGUGAACCAGUACCGUGAGGGAAAGGCGAAAAGAACCCCGGCGAGGGGAGUGAAAAAGAACCUGAAACCGUGUACGUACAAGCAGUGGGAGCACCUUCGGGUGUGACUGCGUACCUUUUGUAUAAUGGGUCAGCGACUUAUAUUCUGUAGCAAGGUUAACCGUAUAGGGGAGCCGCAGGGAAACCGAGUCUUAACUGGGCGUUAAGUUGCAGGGUAUAGACCCGAAACCCGGUGAUCUAGCCAUGGGCAGGUUGAAGGUUGGGUAACACUAACUGGAGGACCGAACCGACUAAUGUUGAAAAAUUAGCGGAUGACUUGUGGCUGGGGGUGAAAGGCCAAUCAAACCGGGAGAUAGCUGGUUCUCCCCGAAAGCUAUUUAGGUAGCGCCUCGUGAACUCAUCUUCGGGGGUAGAGCACUGUUUCGGCUAGGGGGUCAUCCCGACUUACCAACCCGAUGCAAACUACGAAUACCGAAGAAUGUUAUCACGGGAGACACACGGCGGGUGCUAACGUCCGUCGUGAAGAGGGAAACAACCCAGACCGCCAGCUAAGGUCCCAAAGUCAUGGUUAAGUGGGAAACGAUGUGGGAAGGCACAGACAGCCAGGAUGUUGGCUUAGAAGCAGCCAUCAUUUAAAGAAAGCGUAAUAGCUCACUGGUCGAGUCGGCCUGCGCGGAAGAUGUAACGGGGCUAAACCAUGCACCGAAGCUGCGGCAGCGACACUAUGUGUUGUUGGGUAGGGGAGCGUUCUGUAAGCCUGCGAAGGUGUGCUGUGAGGCAUGCUG